UUUUUGGGGCCCUUGGAUUUGAAAUGUACCUUUAUUAAUGACUGUGCUACCUGAGCAACAUCAGAAACUUCUCUACCUGUGUCAACAUCUACUAGGUCCCCCUUGCCUUCAGAUGGUGGAGAAUGAUGCCUUAGACCCAGACCUGGAGUUGCCACCCUGUCCCAGCAUGAACUGCCUGCUAUUACCAUGCACCAGGGUUCUGAUUCCUUGACCUGUUUGUAGGGCUAGAUAGUGAAGACACAAUACUUCUUCCUUAUCCUGUUCACCCCUAUCCCUCACCUCCAUUUGUCUUCCCUGUUCUUUUCUUUAGGGGGAGGGGCGGCACCACAGGUGAAGCCCUUUGUCCCCACUAGGCGUGGUCCAGGUGGUGGGUGGAGUGUGCGGUUUCAAGGAAGGAAAAUGUAGCAGCUGGAGCUCUUAAGGUAGGACACGCAGUGUUUAGGGAGAGUAGGAGAAACCAGAUGGAAGGGCAGGAAAAGAUAGGGUUGGAGGCGCGUUGCGUCAGGGGCGGCUCAGAAAAUAGGAGAGGAAGUGGCUCUCGCGGGAUCUCACGAGUUCCAGAGGCAUGCCAGGGGAAUCCUGGGAGGAGAAUCUGCCGGGAGCCGUGGGUCCCCGAGGCUCCUUCUCUCUGUGUUUUCCAUAAAAACGUCUGGCGCACCCCACCUAAGAAGCAAGCCCCAGUUCUGGUGGAGGCCUUGCUACCCUACUCCCCACUCGAGUCACAGUUCAGCGGUUCCUCUUCCAAGGGGCGCGGCGAGAUUUGCCUCGUGGUGAGAACCUGCUGUGUAUCCUGUUUACAAGGUGCUUGGGGAACUUCUACUCAUGGUUAGUAGUGAUGUAAGUUCAAUGCACAUGAAUACGAACAUUAAUAUUGAAUUUUUUAAAGGUAAAACACAGUGCAAACCAAGAAUUAUAUUGGUCUUAUUUUUCUAUUUAUACAUGAUUAUUUAAGGCGUCAUUUGUUUAUCUUCUUUCUCCAACUAAGUUACUCUAAAGUGGCAGCUAAUUAAUCAAAGGAUAUAAUAACAUUUGAUGAAGUGAUCAAGUAAGACCUAUGAAGAAUAUGAGAAUCAAGCUAGUCCUUGAAGAGGAGGUUUCAUUGUAAAUUAUUUUGAUUUUCAGGCAGAGAACAUCAGUGUAUGCCACUGUGCAGUUUUGUUUUUAAAAUCAACUUUUUUUUUCUGUAUUUUUAUUUCAUUCAUUCAUUUGCAGAUCCAUCAUUCAGUAAGCAUUCAUAGGGUACAUACUGUGUUCUAGGAACCAUGCUAAACCUUUGGGAUACAAAAUAAAAUAAUGCACAGUUAUCUAUAGUUGUCUCCA
Molecule: long non-coding RNA, 1320 nt
Filed under: Felis catus (domestic cat)
Lineage: Eukaryota; Metazoa; Chordata; Mammalia; Carnivora; Felidae
Description: lncRNA (ENSFCAG00000047174.1)
Source: RNAcentral